Molecule: long non-coding RNA, 2242 nt
Organism: Pecten maximus
Lineage: Eukaryota; Metazoa; Mollusca; Bivalvia; Pectinida; Pectinidae
Exons: 2
Source: RefSeq, a predicted model, not a curated record
CUGAGGGUUAAACAAGAGAGCUAAUGUCAUGGUGAAUCACCAGAUCUGAGGGUUAAACAAGAGAGCUAAUGUCAUGGUGAAUCACCAGAUCUGAAGGUUAAACAAGAGAGCUAAUGUCAUGGUGAAUCACCAGACCUGAGGGUUGAACAAGAGAGCUAAUGUCAUGGUGAAUCACCAGAUCUGAGGGUUAAACAAGAGAGCUAAUGUCAUGGUGAAUCACCAGAUCUGAAGGUUGAACAAGAGAGCUAAUGUCAUGGUGAAUCACCAGACCUGAAGGUUAAACAAGGGAGCUAAUGUCAUGGUGAAUCACCAGAUCUGAAGGUUAAACAAGAGAGCUAAUGUCAUGGUGAAUCACCAGAUCUGAGGGUUAAACAAGAGAGCUAAUGUCAUGGUGAAUCACCAGAUCUGAGGGUUAAACAAGAGAGCUAAUGUCAUGGUGAAUCACCAGAUCUGAGGGUUGAACAAGAGAGCUAAUGUCAUGGUGAAUCACCAGAUCUGAGGGUUGAACAAGAGAGCUAAUGUCAUGGUGAAUCACCAGAUCUGAGGGUUAAACAAGAGAGCUAAUGUCAUGGUGAAUCACCAGAUCUGAGGGUUAAACAAGAGAGCUAAUGUCAUGGUGAAUCACCAGAUCUGAAGGUUUAACAAGAGAGCUAAUGUCAUGGUGAAUCACCAGACCUGAAGGUUAAACAAGGGAGCUAAUGUCAUGGUGAAUCACCAGAUCUGAAGGUUUAACAAGAGAGCUAAUGUCAUGGUGAAUCACCAGAUCUGAAGGUUAAACAAGAGAGCUAAUGUCAUGGUGAAUCACCAGAUCUGAAGGUUUAACAAGAGAGCUAAUGUCUUGGUGAAUCACCAGACCUGAAGGUUAAACAAGGGAGCUAAUGUCAUGGUGAAUCACCAGAUCUGAAGGUUUAACAAGAGAGCUAAUGUCAUGGUGAAUCACCAGAUCUGAAGGUUUAACAAGAGAGCUAAUGUCAUGGUGAAUCACCAGAUCUGAGGGUUAAACAAGAGAGCUAAUGUCUUGGUGAAUCACCAGAUCUGAGGGUUAAACAAGAGAGCUAAUGCCAUGGUGAAUCAUCCAUCGGUCUGAUGUCCAUCAUCCAUCUAGUGUCAAUUGCCCCAUAAUGCUUGGAAAAAGAACUUACCUUGACCUAUAUUUAAAGCCAAAAGGGUCACAUUUGUUCAAACUUUUAAAUGACUUUUUCUGGUUAAUCAAAGGCCCAGAAGCAUGAUUAUACAUUGCUGAUACAAUGAAACGUUAUGAAGUUUGCAAACACAAAUGACCUUGACCUAUAUUUAAGGUCAAAGGGAUCAAAUGUGUUGAAAUAUCUUCACAACUUAUUCCCAAAUCAGUGAAAAAAAGGCCGGAGUAUUUGACUGGUGGGUUUCUGGGAUAGAGGCCCACAAGGUUUGCAAAAGGAAAUGCCCUUGACCAAUAUUCACUGUCACAGCGGUUCAAUUUAUCCAAACAUUCAAACAACUUUUCUCACAAACCGAAAAGCCUUAAUCAUGAUAUUUGACUGGUAGGUUCCUAGAUUGCAGCUAAACAAAAUUUGCGAAAAGAAAUUACCUUGACUCAUAUUCAAGGUCGCAGGAGUAAAAUUUGUUAAACCUUUAAAUUUCUUCCUUCCGCAAAAAGUCCUAGAAUUAUAUUUGGCAGGUAGGAUCCUUGGAAGGAGCCUACAGCGUUUGCCUAAAGAAAUGCCUUGAACUAUAUUUAAGGUCACAGAGGUCAAAUUUGUUGAAACAUAUAAAGGACUCCAAUCAAGUUCUUUUGAUUAAAUGAAAGAGAUUAAUGAAACAAGUGAAUACCAGGUGGGCGAUGUAGACCCUUUGAGACCCAUUGAGACCCUUUAAGACCUAAUGAGACCCUAUGAGACCCAUUGAGACCCAUUGAGACCCAAUAAGACCCUUUGAGACCCAUUGAGACCCUUAAAGACUCUUUGAGACCAAUUGCGACUCAUUGAGACCCUUUGAGACCCAUUGAGACACUUUGAGACCCAUUGAGACCAAUUGAAACCCUUUGAGACCAAUUGGGCCCAUUGAGACCCUUUGAGACCCGUUGAGACCCAUAGAGACCCAUGCCUGUUAGACACAUUUUGUACGUGAAUCUCAACUUGAAAUUUCAGUUUUCAAAGAAAAGGAGACAUUGUAGUUUCUUCAAUAUAUUUAAUUGGCUCUGAAAUGAUACUGUUUGUAAACAAAACAAAAAAAUGUAAACAAUAAAGCAAGGACAUAAUUGAAA